GUUUGAUUUCUGCUCAGGAUGAACGCUAGCGAUAGGCUUAACACAUGCAAGUCGAGGGGCAGCAUAAUUUUACUUGCUAAGAUUGAUGGCGACCGGCGCACGGGUGCGUAACGCGUAUGCAACUUGCCUGUCAGUGGGGGAUAACCCGGAGAAAUUCGGACUAAUACCGCAUAUACUUAUUUUGUUGCAUGACAGAUUAAGGAAAGAUUUAUUGCUGACAGAUAGGCAUGCGUUCCAUUAGUUAGUUGGUGAGGUAACGGCUCACCAAGACAGCGAUGGAUAGGGGGACUGAGAGGUUGACCCCCCACACUGGUACUGAGAUACGGACCAGACUCCUACGGGAGGCAGCAGUGAGGAAUAUUGGUCAAUGGGCGAAAGCCUGAACCAGCCAAGUCGCGUGAAGGAUGACGGUUCUAUGGAUUGUAAACUUCUUUUGUACAGGAUUAAAAGCUUCUACGUGUAGGGGAAUUGCAGUUACUGUACGAAUAAGCAUCGGCUAACUCCGUGCCAGCAGCCGCGGUAAUACGGAGGAUGCGAGCGUUAUCCGGAUUUAUUGGGUUUAAAGGGUGCGUAGGUGGCAGAGAAAGUCAGGGGUGAAAAGCUGCAGCUCAACUGUAGUCUUGCCUUUGAAACUUCUCAGCUAGAGUGUAGAAGAGGUAUGUGGAAUGUGUGGUGUAGCGGUGAAAUGCAUAGAUAUCACACAGAACUCCGAUUGCGAAGGCAGCAUACUGGGCUAUAACUGACACUGAAGCACGAAAGCGUGGGUAUCGAACAGGAUUAGAUACCCUGGUAGUCCACGCAGUAAACGAUGAAUACUAGGUUUGUGCGAUAUACUGUAUGAGCCUAAGCGAAAGCGAUAAGUAUUCCACCUGGGGAGUACGCCGGCAACGGUGAAACUCAAAGGAAUUGACGGGGGCCCGCACAAGCGGAGGAACAUGUGGUUUAAUUCGAUGAUACGCGAGGAACCUUACCCGGGCAUUGAAUGUAGAUGAUGUAUGAUGAAAGUUGUAUUCCCUUCGGGGCAUCUAUGUAGGUGCUGCAUGGUUGUCGUCAGCUCGUGCCGUGAGGUGUCGGCUUAAGUGCCAUAACGAGCGCAACCCGCGUUGAUAGGUACUAACAGGUAAAGCUGAGGACUCUAUCGAUACAGCCGUCGUAAGACGAGAGGAAGGAGCGGAUGACCGUCAAUCAGCACGGGCCUUACAUCCGGGGCGACACACGUGUUACAAUGGUAGGGGACAAGAGCUGCUACCGGGCGACCGGAUGCGAAUCUCCCAACCCUAAUCCAGUUCGGAUCCGAGUCUGCACUCGACUUCUGGAAGCUGGAUCGCUAGUAAUCCGCAUCAGCAUGGCGCGUGAAUACUUCCCGGCUUGUACAACCGCCGUCAGCAUGGAGUUGGAGUACUGAAAUCUACCCGAGGGCGAUAAGGAAC
Molecule: ribosomal RNA, 1430 nt
Filed under: uncultured Porphyromonas sp.
Lineage: Bacteria; Pseudomonadati; Bacteroidota; Bacteroidia; Bacteroidales; Porphyromonadaceae
Description: bacterial SSU rRNA
Rfam family: Bacterial small subunit ribosomal RNA
Source: RNAcentral